UAGGUUGAUUUCCUGUGUAACGCUGCUC
Molecule: non-coding RNA, 28 nt
Filed under: Homo sapiens (human)
Lineage: Eukaryota; Metazoa; Chordata; Mammalia; Primates; Hominidae
Source: RNAcentral